Molecule: RNA transcript, 3665 nt
Organism: Zonotrichia leucophrys gambelii
Lineage: Eukaryota; Metazoa; Chordata; Aves; Passeriformes; Passerellidae
Gene name: IgGFc-binding protein-like
Exons: 8
Source: RefSeq, a predicted model, not a curated record
CGUGACCCCCCCCCAGCGCCCUCAGGGCCGGAGGGACACCAGAACCCCCGGCGCCAUGUCGGCCGUGUGAAGGUGAAGACAGGCGGCGCCCCCUGGUGCAGAGGUGCACAGCAGCUGCUGCUGAUUUGCCGCAGGGCAUGGUGAGAGUCGCGUGACUGUGAGUAUAGUGCCCCCUGCAGGGUAUCCAGAGAGCUGCUCCUCAUUGGCCAGAGGGUCUUGCGGGAGUCAGGCGGCCUCCAACAUGGAUCCUGCCACAAGGGUUCCUGGGAGACAGCCUGGGGUGAAGACGCCCCCUGGUGCUUGCAGAAGUGUCUCCCGAUUGGCCAUGGCGCCUCAGGGGUGGCACAAGAUGGGAUCUGAUGGCUCCUCCUUCCCUUCUGUGCACUCUCUAGUGCCAGCUACCAGGGCUGGGAGUUCCUGGCCGUGUUCCCACAGAACAACGACGAGUCCCCCAGCAUGUACCUGCAGCUGCUGCUCACCUCCUAUGGCCCUGCUGACACCCAAGUGUCAGUGACGCUCUGUUGCGGCUCCAUCACCUGGAACAUCACCCUGAGGCCAGAUGUCACUGUGCCCUUGCCCUUUCCUGCUAGCCUGGAACGUGAUGGAAGCCACACUUCCCAUAAAACCUUGGUGGUUGAGGCCAGUGCUGACAUCUCUGUGACGUCUGUCGGCACCAAUGGCUACACUGUGGGUGCCACUGCCCUCCUGCCUAUGGAGAGCCUGGGCACCAGGUACUAUGUGUGACACCGGUUGGGAACUAAACUUAUGGCCUGACUGAGUUUGUGGUGGCCACCGACCCCACCACCAUCACUAUUAGCAUCACCACCAGCACCACUUUCCACUGUGCUGGGCCCACAUAUGUCCCCGUUGCUGUGCUCCACCUAUUCCUGCAGCCCUAGCAUAGCCUGCAGCUCCAGAGCAGCCUGGACGUCACUGGCACAAUUGUGGUGGCCGACACCCCUGUGGCUGUCCUCAGUGGCCACACGUGUGUCAAGGUAUCUGUUGGCUUUGACUUUGUGGUGGAGCAGUUCCUCCCAAAGACAGUGUGGGGGAGGAGCUACGUGUGGCCGCCCAACCCACUGCAGACAGAGGCUGACUUCGUUUAUGUGGUGACGCAUGAAGACAACACCAUCAACUGCAGCACCGGGAGCAGGAAUGCCACUGUGGCCAUGGCGGUAGGGGAGGUGCAGAUGUUCGUGGUGAACUGUGGGGUGCAGAGGUUCAGGGACAUCACACCAUAACCAAUAUGGUCCAGUGAAGCCAAAUUUAUUAUUCCUAAAAGGGCUAUAUUUAUAAUAAAUUUCUACUGUUUACGUGUCUAUAGCUAAUACAUGAUUGGUUAAUCCUAGCUGUUCACGCGUCUAAAAUAGAAUGCUGAUUGUAUCAGCUAAUUUUUCACACGUCUUGCUGUGGUUGUCUGGUCCGCCCAUGGCUUCUCUUUUUUCUCCCUUUCUCAAGCUUGCUGACAAACUUGUCCCCACACCAGUCUCCUGUGAGGAUUUUGGUAUGUGAGGAGAGGUGUGAGAUGGUGGCUGGACCAACCAGAGUGCAUCCAGGAGACUUUCUCCACCGGUUGGCUCUCUGAUGGGCCACACUACUGCAGUUUUGAUGAAAAACCUUUGAUUUCAUGGGAGCAUGUGCCUACACCUUGACCACCAUCUGCAAUCCUGAUCCCACCUUUCCUGCUCUCUCUCUUGCGGUCAAAAAGGAGGAAAAGGAGAACUCCAAAGUUUCCUGCAUCGGCUCCAUCACCAUCCAAGUCGACAACAUGACUGUCACUGCUGUCCAGUCAGAGAAUGGGAUGGUGAGGGUGAGCAACCACCACUUGUGCCUCCCCAUUUUCCUCUCCCACGGGAAGGUCCACAUCCACCAGAAGGGUAAAUCCACGUUGAUCCAAUCAAAUUUCAAGCUGAAGGUCCUCUACAGCUGGGAUGAUCAUGUAAUGAUCAAACUUCCAGCUCCUCUUUCUAGAAACAACUGCGGAAUUUGUGGGAACAACAAUGGGGAUCCCCAGGAUGACUCUCUCUCCUGAUGGAAAACAAGUGUGGGAUAUUGUGGAGUUUGGGUGGAGCUGGAAGGCGACCAGUGAGAGUGGCCACUGCCAGGACAUCUGUGAUGGUGACUGUGGGCGGUGCAGAUGGGACCAGGUGCAUUCUACAUGCAAGGCAGAGACCUGGUGUGGGAAGUUGUCCCAACAUUCUGGGCCAUUCCAGUCGUGUCAUGACACUAUCAGUCCCAAUAUCUAUGUGAAGAACUGUAUCUAUGACCUGUGUGCCAAUGAGGGGCAUCGCAAUGCCCUGUGCCAUUCUUUGAGAUCUAUGCUGAUGACUGCCAGGAGGAGAGGAUCAGUGCUUCCCACUGGAGGAAACAGCUGGAAUGUUCUCUCACUUGCCCGCCCAACAGCACCUACAGCACUUGUGGCCUCGCCUGCCUCCCUACCUGCAACAUCCCUGCUGUGUCAUCCAGCUGUGCUGCUGUCACCACCUGUGUGGACACCUGCGUGUGCCACGAGAGCCUUGUCCUUGAUGCCAACACCUGAAUCGCCCCUUCUGAAUGUGGCUGUUUCAUUCAGGGUUUCUUCUAUGGCCUUGGCGAGGAAUUUUGGCGUGACCUGACUUGCAUCCAACACUGUGUGUGUGACAGCGGCAGACAGUGUGCCGGGAUUCUGGUUGUGGCACUGAGGAGGGAUGCUGGGUGGAGGAGAGGAUCCAGGAUUGUUAUCCCAAAAUUUUUGGGGUCUGCACUGCUGUUGGAGCCACCCACUAUGAGACCUUUGAUGGCAAGGGGUUCAUCUUCCAGGGCAUGUGUGUGUCCUACCUGUUGGUAGGGUUGUGUGAGGAAACUCAAAAUUUGGUGGGAUGCCAGGUGUUGGAUGCAGAAAGGCAACCUUAGUGACAGCCUCGUGUCAUCCAUCACUGUGGUGACAGUCAAAGUCUACAACAAGACCAUCAGCAUCAGCAGGGAACAUCCUGGAAAAAUCAUGACUGAUGAGCAGUUGGUCAAUCUCCCAUAGCACAACAGGGAAAGAAAGAUUGUUGUCUAUCGUCACGGGCAGGACGUGGUGGAAAUGACCAAUUUUGGCCUUGUUGUCACCUAUGACUGGUACAGCCACAUCACCACCAUGGUGCCCAGUGGCUUCACCAAUGCCCUAUGUGGGCUCUGUGGGAACUACAGUGGCGCUGCAAGCGACAACAUGAUGAUGAGGAACAACCAUGGGACGUCAGACCCAGAUGCCUUCAGGAGCAGCUGGAAGGUCACAGAUGUCCCAGGAUGUGGUGAGAGGUCAACAGUGGAAUGUUCCAGGACACUUGCACCUUCCUGGCUGCAGCAGGAAGUCUCUGGGAUGGGAUGUGAAAUUAUUUUGGAAGUGGAUGGACUCUUCAGAGCAUGUCAUGGUCAUGUUGAUGGCCACCAGUACUUCCAGAGCUGCAUCCAUGACUCCUGCCUUUUCCCCUAUCAGGAAGAAAGGAUGUGUCCAAUCGUUGCCCUCUACGCCACCACCACCAGGCUGCUGAUGUGUCCAUUGAGAGGUGGAGGACAGAUAAUUUCUACUGUAAACUGGGACAAUGGGAGGGUUUUUUCUUCAGCAGUAUACAAAGGAUCCUCAAGUCUACGCCAAAUCCAUGUAUGAACAACCCGGAAGUGCAUGGGAAUCCCACCCAAAG